This 1070-nucleotide long non-coding RNA is filed under the name Homo sapiens (human). RNAcentral describes it as "long intergenic non-protein coding RNA 1539". The record is from RNAcentral. Lineage: Eukaryota; Metazoa; Chordata; Mammalia; Primates; Hominidae.
GCUGUGCCAAGAAAGAAAAGACCAUGGAUCUACUAGUUGCAGAUUUCAGCAGUAAUGCCAAGGGGGCAAGAAGUGACCAGCAGAACAAUUAGGCCAUGGCAACAGAAGCCAACUACAACCCAUGUUCCAAUCUAUGACCUCCCUCUCCUGCUGGUACAAGGAUAUGGACUAGCCUAGAUGAUGAUGGCUCACCAAUUUCCUUGCAAGGGCAAGAGCUGAUAAUCAACUGACUAAUGAGGAUUGACUUCUACAAUUGAUGAGCAUGGAAUUGGAUGUGCCUAAAUCAACAGAAGAGGGAUUUUGAUGUCAUCACACUGUAGCCCCAGAAGACAGAACGCUCAAAGGUGUCAAUGGGCAGAAUUUGUAGAUGACAUACAGCAUCCAAUGGAUUACUCCUAUUCAGGAUAAUGGAAGAAAAAGGUUCUUACCCUUCAGCAGAUAGCAUGCUGAGCCCUGAACAAAUUUUAUGACUUCUGGUGCAAAGCAGACCCAGUCAGCUUGCCUCUAGCAACUGGUUAAUACUACUCCAAGGAAACCACACUUAAAAUUCUUGGAAGUUCUUUUACCAUCACAUCAAGUUGCAUUUUGAAGCUGAAGCCCUUCGAAUCCAUUUAUACCUUGUGAUAUUCCCUUGCCAGAUUGUUGUUUUGUUUGCUAGACAUGAUUUUAGGAUUUUGUCAAGGAAGCCAUCUAUGACCCCAAUCAAUCAAAACCAUAAGGAUCAAGGCUGGAAGAACCUAUUCCUUAGAGCAAAGGAUGCAAUGUCAAGCAAGUUGUGAUACCUCAACUAUCUACAAUUUAACACCAAGGAAAGAACACUGUUUGGAGAAAUGAGAAAGAUUAUCAUCAGUGUCUUUCAGAAGUCAUCAAAAGAAGAAAAGGAGAAAAGAGAGGAGAAAGCAGAAAGGUAUAGGAAAUUACCAGUUGAAGUAUGAAAAUUGAAGAGCAAGGAAAAAAGUAUUCAAAUGUUCAUAUUGAGGUUCAUAUACGAUUAAGAAGGAGAAGUGUAACUUAGAAAGAAAUUUUGUAAAAAGGAACAUUUAAAAGGAUUAUAAAAUGCUUAUGUAAAA